UCAGGCAGUAAAAAGGAUACAAUUUUCUUUAGGAAUGUAGUGAAGUAAAAAUAAAAGUUGUCAAAAAUAUAAAUAGUAAAGUAAAGUACAGAUUAGAGGUCGACCUCUAGUACAGAUACCCCAAAAAACUACUUAAGUAGUACUUUAAAGUAUUUUAACUUAAGUACUUUACACCACUGGAAAUUAGUAGACCUCAUUAAAAACAAUAAAACACUGGUAAAUGAAUACAGUCUAUUAAAAUACAAUAAUAACUAGUGAUAAAAGCAUAUGGCAGUUUAAAGGCCCAGUGCAGUCCAGUGGCGUAGCUAAACAUUUGUUGAUGGGUGGGCCUGCAGAAAUUUGGGUGUCCCCCCAAAUAAUGUUCAGUUAUAUAGCUGAUCUCAUGCUAUAUUACACAUUUUGCCAUGAGGCUUAGAGAAAAUGUUGCUGUUUUAAAGCUCGUCACAUGCUAUUCUACACAUUUUGCCAUGAGGCUGAGAGAACAUUUUGCAUUUUUAAAGCUAAUUAAAUAAAAAAUAUAGGUGUGUUGACUGUGAUAAGGGCACUGGAUUAAUAUGUUGUCUUGUUUGCUAAAUUAACAAAUGAAGUAGGCAGUGGCAUGGUGCAUAUACAGUUCAUUCGGAAAGUGUUCAGACCCCUUCCCUUUUUCAACAUUUUUACGUUACAGCCAUCUUCACAAUUAUUUUAUUUUUUUAUCCUCGGCAAACUACAGACAAUACCUCAUAAAGACAAAGCGAAAAAAACAUUUUGUUUUUGCAAAUGUAUUAAAAAUAAAAAACAGAAAUACCUUAUUUACAUAAAUAUUCAGACCCUUUGCUUUGAGAGUUGAAAUUGAGCUCAGGUGCAUCCUGUUUCCAUUAGUCAUCCUUGAGAUGUUUCUAAAACUUGAUUGGAGUCCACCAGUGGUAAAUUCAAUUGAUUGGACAUGAUUUGGAAAGGCACACACCUGUCUAUAUAAGGUCCCACAGUUGACUGUGCAUGUCAUAGAAAAAUCCAAGCAAUGAGGUCGAAGGAAUUGUCUGUAGAGUUCCGAGACAGGAUUGUGUCAAGGCACAGAUCUGGUGAAGGGUACCAAAUAAAUUAUGCAGCAUUGAAUGUCCCCAAGAACACAGUGGCCUCCAUAAUUAAUUUAAUAGAAGAAGUUUGGAACCACCAAGACUCUUCCUAGAGCUGGCCACCUGACCAAAAUGAGCAAUCGGGGGAGAAGGGCCUUGGUCAGGGAGGUGACUAAGAACCAGAUGGACACUGACAGAGAUCCAGAGUUCCUCUGUGGAGAUGGAGCAGAACAAUAAGGUCUUUAUGCAUGCUCAGAGAGAACAGAACACUAGGUUACAUGAUGUGGAAAUACAGAUUUGACUUCCACUUUGUAUUUUUUCAUGGUAUUUUCCAAUUGUCUAUCUACCAUUCAACAUGUAUCUACACUGAACAAAAAUAUAAACACAACAUGUAGCAAUUUUACUGAGUUACAGUUCAUAUAAGGAAAGCGUUCGAUUGAAAUAAAUUCAUUAGACCCUAAUCUAUGGAUUUCACAUGACUGGGAAUACAGAUAUGCAUCUGUUGGUCACAGAUACUGUAAUGUUCAGGCAUGACAGUGCAGGAAGACCGAUAAUUGUGUACGACAACACCAACCUAAUAUGACACCACAUGGUGGAUCAAUAGUACUACAGUCAAUACAGUGCAUCAGAAGCAACGCAACAACCAGCCAGCUGCCAACAAGCACACACAAAGGGCUAAAGCAAACAACCAAUGCAGGAAUUGUGGAGGCAAAUACCCACAUUAUGGAGACUGUCCAGUGAAAGGAAAAGAGUGCAAAGCUUGUGGGAAACAAAAUCCUUUGCAAAGCAGUGCAGCUCAAAACCAAAGCAGGAGCAACACAUGGAUACCAGAGCCAUUGCUAAAGACCGAUCAACCAAGUAGGUGAAACACAUAGAGGAGGUGGGAGGCCAAACUCAACAAGCAGUGAUGAUGCCAAGGUGUUUGUAGUUAAGUGACAAAAGCCUUAAACAGCCACAGACACAUUCAGCUAAAUGGUGUCAGAGUAGGAGUUCUGAUAGACUAGAGUAGAGUAGCAUAUCUGAUAGACUAUAGUGGAGUAGCAGUUCUGAUAGACUAGAGUAGAGUAGCAGUUCUGAUAGACUAUAGUGGAGUAGCAGCUCUGAUAGUGUAGAGUAGAGUAACAGUUCUGAUAGUCUAGAGUAGCAGUUCUGAUAGACUAGAGUAGAGUAGCAGUUCUGAUAGACUAGAGUAUAGUAACAGUUCUGAUAGACUAGAGUAGAGUAGAGGUUCUGAUAGGCUAGAGUAGAGUAGGGUAACAGUUCUGAUAGAGUAGAGUAGCAGUUAUGAUAGACUAGAGUAGAGUAGAGGUUCUGAUAGACUAGAGUAGAGUAGAGGUUCUGAUAGAGUAGAGUAGCAGUUAUGAUAGACUACAGUAGAGUAGAGGUUCUGAAAGACUAGAGUAGAGUAGAGUAGACGUUCUGAUAGACUAGAGUAGAGUAGAAGUUCUUAUAGACUAGAGUAGAGUAACAGUUCUGAUAGACUUGAGUAGAGUAGCAGUUCUGAUAGAAUAGAGUAGUGUAGCAGUUCUGAUAGACUAGAGUAGAGUAGAGGUUCUGAUAGAGUAGAGUAGCAGUUCUGAUAGACUAGAGUAGAGUAGAGUAACAGUUCUGAUAGACUAGAGUAGAGUAACAGUUCUGAUAGACUAGAGUAGAGUAGAGGUUCUGAUAGACUAGAG
RNAcentral lists this long non-coding RNA (2731 nucleotides) under Salmo salar (Atlantic salmon). RNAcentral describes it as "lncRNA (ENSSSAG00000108421.1)". Lineage: Eukaryota; Metazoa; Chordata; Actinopteri; Salmoniformes; Salmonidae. The record is from RNAcentral.